CAUGUCUAAGUAUGAACUGGUUUAAGGUGAAACUGCGUACGGCUCAUUACAUCAGCUAUAACUUUCUUUGAUCAUAAAUUCUAAAUGGAAUAACCGAGGAAAAGCCUGGGCUAAUACAUGCGAAAAUUCCGAUAGUAAUAUUGGAAUGCUUUUAUUAGAUCAAAACCUUCUAGUUCUUUAACCGGAACUGUUUGUUGGUGACUCUAAAUAACUUUGUGUUGAUCGUAUGACCUUUGUGUCGACGACAUAUCUUUCAAGUGUCUGACUUAUCAACUUUAGACGGUACAUUAUAUGUCUACCGUGGUUGUAACGAGUACAGAGAAUCAGGGUUUGGUUCUGGAGAGGCCGCCUGAGAAACGGCGACCACUUCCAAGGAAGGCAGCAGGCGCGCAAAUUACCCACUCUCAAAACGAGGAGGUAGUGAAGAGAAAUAACGAUGUUAGUCUUUUAUAGGCUGAUAAUCGGAAUGGAAACACUGUAAAUAGGUGAAAACUAAAGUUGCUGUGUUUAAAAAGCUCGUAGUUGAAUUUCGGGUAUUUGUUGCUAGCUGGUCUAACUGUCCAUGUUGGUUAACAGAUCCUCACUUGCUGGACGGCUAGCGAUGAUCUUCACUGAUUGUCGUUAGUUGCCAGAACGUUUACUUUGAGAAAAUUAGAGUGCUAAAAGCAGGCUCACGCCUAUAUAUAUUGCAUGGAAUAAUGAAAUAAGAUCUCGAUUUUAUUUCGUUGGUUUUAGAAAUUGAGAUAAUGAUUAAUAGGAUCAGAGGGGGGCGUACGUACUGUGGUGUGAGAGGUGAAAUUCUUGGAUCGCCACAGGACGAACAGCAGCGAAGGCGUUCGCCAAGAAUGUUUUCAUUAAUCAAGAACGAAAGUUUGAGGUUCGAAGACGAUUAGAUACCGUCCUAGUUCAAACCAUAAACGUUGCCAACUGUCUUUUAGAUGCGGUUAUUCAUAUGACUCAUCUGGCGGAUCUCGAGAAAUCUAAGUUUUUAGGUUCCGGGGGAAGUAUGGUUGCAAAGCUGAAACUUAAAAGAAUUGACGGAAGGACACACAAGAAGUGGAGCCUGUGGCCUAAUUUGACUCAACACGGGAAACCUUACUCGGCCAGGACACUUUUAGGAUUGACAGAUUGAGAGCUCUUUCUUGAUUAGGUGGGUGGUGGUGCAUGGUCGUUCGUAGUUCGUGGAGCGAUUUGUCUGAUUAAUUUCGAUAACGAACGAGACUCCGGCUUACUAAAUAGUCUAAAGUUCGCAGGGACUUUUCAAGACUUCUUAGCAGGAUAAGUGGCACUUUUUAAGCCACACGAAAUGGAGCAAUAACAGGUCUGUGAUGCCCUUAGAUGUCCGAGGCUGCACGCGCGCUACACUGGAGAGUUCAGAAUGUUUCUUCCUACUUCGACAGGAGUGGGUAACCAUGAAAUUCUCUUCGUGACUGGGAUCGGAGCUUGCAAUUAUUCUCCGUCAACGAGGAAUUCCUAGUAAGCACUAUUUCAUCAGAAUGUGCUGAUUAUGUCCCUGUCCUUUGUACACACCGCCCGUCGCUACUACCGAUUGAAUGUUUUAGUGAGAUCUUCGGCUUGGUUUUCCGAACGGCUUUCGGGUCGCUUGGUUGAUAUCGAAAAGAUGCUCAAACUGGAUCAUUUAGAGGAAGUAAAAGUCGUAACAAGGUAU
RNAcentral lists this ribosomal RNA (1669 nucleotides) under Philodina gregaria. RNAcentral's name for it is "SSU rRNA". It matches the Rfam family "Eukaryotic small subunit ribosomal RNA". The record is from RNAcentral. Lineage: Eukaryota; Metazoa; Rotifera; Eurotatoria; Philodinida; Philodinidae.